ACUGGUGUUCCCAUUCUGUCAUCAGGACAGAACACAGAAACAUCACCAUGGAGUUUGGGCUGGGCUGGGUGUUCCUGGUUGCUCUUUUAAAAGGUGUCCACUGUGACGUGCUGGUGGUGGAGUCUGGGGGAGACCUGGUGAAACCUGGGGGGUCCCCCAGACUCACCUGCAUAGCCUCUGGAUUCACCUUCAGUGGCUACGACAUGAACUGGGUCCGCCAGGCUCCAGGAAAGGGGCUGCAGUGGGUCACAUAUAUUAGUAAUAGUGGAGGUAGCACAAGCUACGCAGACUCCAUGAAGGGCCUAUUCACCAUCUCCAGAGACAACGCCAAGAACAUGCUGUAUCUGCAGAUGAACAAUCUGAGGGCCGAGGACACGGCCACGUAUUACUAUGCAAGAGACAUGGUGAGGGGACCUUACUGGGAGCCCAGACAAAACCCUCUCUGCAGGAGGGGAUCAGUACCACCAGGGGGUGCACACUAUACACAAUUUUGGUUUGUGUUCCCAGGAGCAGGUGCACAUGGAGGUUAA
Acinonyx jubatus (cheetah) is the source of this 530-nucleotide non-coding RNA. The record is from the annotation of a RefSeq genome assembly. NCBI's taxonomy places the organism in Eukaryota, Metazoa, Chordata, Mammalia, Carnivora, Felidae.